AUGCAAGUCGAGCGCGAAAGCACUUCGGUGUGAGUAGAGCGGCGGACGGGUGAGUAACGCGUAGGAAUCUACCUAGUAGUGGGGGACAACUCGGGGAAACUCGAGCUAAUACCGCAUAAGCCCUACGGGGGAAAGCGGGGGACCUUCGGGCCUCGUGCUAUUAGAUGAGCCUGCGUUGGAUUAGCUAGUUGGUGGGGUAAAGGCCUACCAAGGCGACGAUCCAUAGCUGGUCUGAGAGGAUGAUCAGCCACACCGGGACUGAGACACGGCCCGGACUCCUACGGGAGGCAGCAGUGGGGAAUAUUGCGCAAUGGGCGAAAGCCUGACGCAGCCAUGCCGCGUGUGUGAAGAAGGCCUUCGGGUUGUAAAGCACUUUCAAUUGGGAGGAAAGGUUCACGGUUAAUAACCGUGAGCUGUGACGUUACCUUUAGAAGAAGCACCGGCUAACUCCGUGCCAGCAGCCGCGGUAAUACGGAGGGUGCGAGCGUUAAUCGGAAUUACUGGGCGUAAAGCGCGCGUAGGUGGUCUGUUAAGUCGGAUGUGAAAGCCCCGGGCUCAACCUGGGAACUGCAUUCGAUACUGGCAGACUAGAGUGCGAGAGAGGGAGGUAGAAUUCCAUGUGUAGCGGUGAAAUGCGUAGAUAUGUGGAGGAAUACCAGUGGCGAAGGCGGCCUCCUGGCUCGACACUGACACUGAGUGCGAAAGCGUGGGGAGCAAACAGGAUUAGAUACCCUGGUAGUCCACGCCGUAAACGAUGUCUACUAGCUGUAGGGUACUUGAGACCUUUGUAGCGCAGCUAACGCACU
Molecule: ribosomal RNA, 806 nt
Filed under: uncultured marine bacterium
Lineage: Bacteria
Description: bacterial SSU rRNA
Rfam family: Bacterial small subunit ribosomal RNA
Source: RNAcentral